RNAcentral lists this ribosomal RNA (397 nucleotides) under Syntemna daisetsusana. Its description in RNAcentral is "partial 12S ribosomal RNA". Lineage: Eukaryota; Metazoa; Arthropoda; Insecta; Diptera; Mycetophilidae. The record is from RNAcentral.
UCUGGGAUUAGAUACCCUGUUAUUGUAAAUGUAAAUAAAUAAAGAUAGAGUAGUAAUAGUUAUAUUCUUAAAACUUAAUAAAUUUGGCGGUAUUUUAAUCUAGUCAGAGGAACUUGUUUUAUAAUUGAUAAUCCUCAGUAUAUCUUACUUAAUUUUAUUUAAUUUGUAUACCGUCGUCAUAAGAAUCUCUUUAAAAAGAAAAAAUUUUCUAAAAUUUUUAUUAAUAAUAAUGUCAGAUCAAGGUGCAGUUUAUAGUUAAGAAAAAAUGAGUUACAAUAAAUUUAUUUAAUUAUAAUGAAAUUAAAAAUUCAAUUUUUUAAAGAAAGUGGAUUUGAUAGUAAAAUAAAAAAUUAAAUUUAUUUGAUUUUAGUUCUAAAAUAUGUACAAAUCGCCCGUC